CUGAGCCGAAGGCAGACGCUUAACCAUCUGAGCCACCCAGGCGCCCCCAUGAAUUCUUUUAAAUGGUUAGUGCAUUCUGUGUCCUACCCCAAGAUCGACAUGUUCUACAUUUUCUUCCAGAAAUUGUCUAAUGUUAAGCUAUAAUCCAUCUCAAAUGUCUAAAUUCCGUUUUUAAUUCUAAUAGGAUAUUUAUAGACUAUUUUGGAUUUUCUGUGUACACAAUCAUAUUAUCUGUGAAUAGUCACAAUCAUCCCCUCAAUUCUUAUGCUUUUUGUUUCUCUUGCCUUAAAACACUGGGUAGAUUCUCCAAUGCAAUGUUGAAUAGAGUAGCAUUGUUUGAAGAUUUUAAUAUACCUUUCUCAAUAUCUGAUAGCAAAAGCAGACAAAACAUUGGUAACAAAUGUGACAUAAUUGACAUAUAUGGAACAUUACAUAAUAAGUGCAGAAUACAUUAUUUUUAAGUGGUCCUAGAAUAUUUACCCAAAUAGAUGGUAUGUUGGGCCAUAAAUCAAGUCUACAAAUUUUAAAAGCCUGAAACUAACUAGAUUAUAUUCUUAGACCACAAGGGAAUUGAGCCACAGUCAUAAUGAAAAGAAAACCAGGAAGUCCCUCAGUGUUUAAAAAUUAAAUGUAACUUUGCUACAUAUCCUAAGGGUCAGAGAGAGAAUCGCAAUGGAAAUUCUCAAUCUUUCCUACAUCAGAGCUCACAGACAAUGGCACUUUAUCUGUGAAGAGCACUCAUUAUCAUAAACUAGACAGGAGUUAAGCCUCACAUCAGAGGUCUGCCUGUCCCAGCCACACCUGGCAGCCUUAGCCUGUGGUUGCCCCGCCCCUCUCCCCCAGCCCAGGGGCCCUUUCUGGUGGCCCUAAGCUAAGUGUCAUGACAAUGAGCUACUCUGUUUUAUUCUGUAGUCCAAAGGGAUAGUGCCAGACUGUCUGGCAGUUCUAAAAUUCUGACUUUAAAUUAUCUGUGUGCUUCAGAGAUUUGGGCAGGAGAAGGGGAGGAGCCCAGCAUCUGGGAACACCUCUGUUACCUGUGCUGAGCAUGGAACAGGUAACCUUCUGUAGGCAUCAUUUGAUUUCUUGGUACUGUUGUUAAAGGCACUUUUAUCUCAAGUUCCUCUCUUUAGUAAUAAUUAUAAUGUUAAUGGAAAUUUUUAUCUUUUACCAUCCAUGGGCCCGGAUCCUGAGCUCCCCGGGAAGCUAUCCUUUAACAUUUUACCAAGCUCAAAAUGACUGGGCAAAACCUCAGAGCAUGAACCCUAUUUCUGUCCCAAGCACAUAUUGUACAUCUGCUUCGAGAAGAAAAAGAUAACCAAAAAAUGCCAUUGCAAACAUAAAGUUAAGAAAAACAAAAGAACCUCUCUGGCUCCCAUAAGAUUUAAGUCAUACCAACUUGCACAAACUGAAAACAUAAGAAAAAGUCUGUAACUCUCUGGAAUGUUCUUCCUUAUGAUGAUGUGUAACUCUGUAUGUAAAACAAGACAACAAAUAUGCAAACCUGCCCCAAAUGUUCCUUCCUUGGAGCACUCCUUUCUUUGUGAAGAUUGUGUCUCCCAGGCCGCUGUCCUGACUUGGGUUUGAAUAAAACUCUCUUCCUUUCUCUCUAAACUGUUUAAAAGGGUUUGUUCAUUCAGUGUCGACAAUAACAAUAUGUUUUCUUUUUAAAUGAAAAAUAAAUGUUCCUGGUUCACAACUCCCAACAGCACAGAAAGGCGGCUGUUCUUCAUCCUGGAGCUUCCCUGCAGAACCAAGCAUAUGUAUAUAUAUUCCAGCAUAAACGGGCUCAUCUUACAAGGAUGUUUUGAAGGUCCAAGAAGCACUAUCCACUCCAUGGUCUCUUCUGCCUGAUGUCCAUCAACUGGCUGUAUCCCCCAGAUCCGUGAACUCCAGGGCGCCUGCUCACCCCAGGUUUUGUGGGAUGGGUUGCAGACAUUUCAGGGUUUCCCGUGUUCCCCGGGAAGAGUGCACGUAAUGACCGCACACGGUCCCCAACUUCAGUGGGGUGCCCCCUGUCCCCUGGCACAGAGUGCAGGCAAUGGACCUUGAGCAGCACCCCGAGUUCAGCAGGGUGUCCCCUGUUUCCCCAGGCAGAGGUGUGGUGGUAACAAGACCCAGAGCCGUCCCCCAACUUCAGUAUUGUGCCCUGUGUCCUCUGGGGAUGGUGGUAAUGGGUGUCAGGGUUGUGCAGGAGGGUCCUCCAGGUGGGGGCCUGGAGGCUGGAGUAAACCAGACCCCACUCAAGGGGGGCCCUCCCGGGGGCUCUUGUGUGAGGAGGAAGUUGGGUAAGGGGACCCCAGGCAGUGGUGACCUCACUUCCCUGACAACAGAGCCCAACAGAAUUUGACACCCCAGUAACCAGGCACCCACAUUCCAGAGACAGCCCCCUGCCCAGCUCAUUUCGUUGGAUAGCCUCCAACGAAGAACAUGUUUGCAUGUUGCAUCCCAAAGUCUGAAGGCUGCAGGCUGAAGAAAGUGCACCCUGCAAACACUUUCCCCAGCUGGGGAUGUCGUGUCAGGGCUCCCCAACGCCUCUGGCCAUUUGGCGGGAAGGACAGAAAGGUGACACCAGGAGGCCCAGAGCCGGCCAUGCAGCCCCACUCGCUCUGAUCUGACCUGUGCAACCCAGGUGCCCUCCGUGUGUGUGUGUGUGUGUGUGUGUGUGUGUAAAGAGAAGUCAUGUAGGGUGGGGCCACCCCGAGCACGAGCAGGCUGAUGAGGGGUCAGAUACCCAGUGGGCAGGUCAUGUUCAAGGUCAAGGCUGGCUGUGGGGGACAGGGUGUGCGGGCGCUACCCCUUCUGCCCAAGGUUUAUCCCGAUAACCCUGCAGGGAUGGGUCACUGCAUCCCGGGUGCAGGGCUGUGCACGCACAGGUCUGUGUCUGAUCUGGGAGCAGCAGGGGGACUGGGCAGGAGGACAGUGAGGAUGGCUGGGCAGGGCUGUGAUGCUUCGGGGCCGGCUACUCAUCCCUGUCUUUGCAGAAGUCAAUGGAGGAUAUGGAGAGGCAACUGGUGGACACACCCUCCAUCUCCUCGCCAGAGGGGGUGACCCCACAGGGGUGCCCAGGAACAGGUGCUGGGGAUUGCCUGGCAAGACCUCCAACACCACCCAGACCACUGUCCCAGGUGGUUGGUCACUGGACAGUGGUCCAGGAGCCGGAGCCCACGGAGGCUGAGGCCGAGGCUGCUCCACCAUCUGAGCGAGAGCUGGCUCCAACUCCAUCAGCAGCUCUGGAGCGAGGGUUGGUGCCUGCAGCGACUUCAGGAGGAAACCAGAGGCCAGCAGGUGACCUGGCACCUGCCCACGGAGAGCCUGACGCUGUCCAGGAAGAACUGGCACCUGUUCCUGCCCCUGACCCAGCUCCUGCUACAGUUCCUGCCCCUGCCAGAGCCUCUGUCCCUGCCCCUGCCCCUGCUUGUGGUCCUGCCCCUGCUCCUUCACCUGCUACAGUCCUGCUGCUCCCCCUGCCCCGUGCUCCUGUUCCUGCCCCUGACCCAGGUCCUGCCCUGGAUCCUGCACCUGCCACUACUGCUGACCCCGUCCCUCCCCUUGCCCCUG
Molecule: non-coding RNA, 3558 nt
Organism: Leptonychotes weddellii (Weddell seal)
Lineage: Eukaryota; Metazoa; Chordata; Mammalia; Carnivora; Phocidae
Source: RefSeq, a predicted model, not a curated record